RNAcentral lists this ribosomal RNA (376 nucleotides) under uncultured organism. RNAcentral's name for it is "partial 16S ribosomal RNA". It matches the Rfam family "Bacterial small subunit ribosomal RNA", at positions 527 to 897 of the family's 1533-position model. The record is from RNAcentral.
GUAGGUGGCAAGCGUUGUCCGGGAAUUAUUGGGGCGUAAAGCGCGCGCAGGCGGUUCUUUAAGUCUGAUGUGAAAGCCCACGGGCUCAACCGUGGAGGGUCAUUGGAAACUGGAGAACUUGAGUACAGAAGAGGAAAGCGGAAUUCCACGUGUAGCGGUGAAAUGCGUAGAGAUGUGGAGGAACACCAGUGGCGAAGGCGGCUUUCUGGUCUGUAACUGACGCUGAGGCGCGAAAGCGUGGGGAGCAAACAGGAUUAGAUACCCUGGUAGUCCACGCCGUAACCGAUGAGUGCUAAGUGUUAGGGGGUUUCCGCCCCUUAGUGCUGCAGCUAACGCAUUAAGCACUCCGCCUGGGGAGUACGGCCGCAAAGGCUGA